RNAcentral lists this ribosomal RNA (768 nucleotides) under bacterium SRMC-37-2. RNAcentral's name for it is "bacterial SSU rRNA". It matches the Rfam family "Bacterial small subunit ribosomal RNA", at positions 111 to 876 of the family's 1533-position model. The record is from RNAcentral.
UAAUAUAUCGGAACGUACCCAAGAGUGGGGGAUAACGUAGCGAAAGUUACGCUAAUACCGCAUACGAUCUACGGAUGAAAGCAGGGGAUCUUCGGACCUUGUGCUCCUGGAGCGGCCGAUAUCUGAUUAGCUAGUUGGUGAGGUAAAGGCUCACCAAGGCGACGAUCAGUAGCUGGUCUGAGAGGACGACCAGCCACACUGGAACUGAGACACGGUCCAGACUCCUACGGGAGGCAGCAGUGGGGAAUUUUGGACAAUGGGCGCAAGCCUGAUCCAGCAAUGCCGCGUGAGUGAAGAAGGCCUUCGGGUUGUAAAGCUCUUUUGUCAGGGAAGAAACGGCUGUGGCUAAUAUCCACGGCUAAUGACGGUACCUGAAGAAUAAGCACCGGCUAACUACGUGCCAGCAGCCGCGGUAAUACGUAGGGUGCAAGCGUUAAUCGGAAUUACUGGGCGUAAAGCGUGCGCAGGCGGUUUUGUAAGUCUGACGUGAAAGCCCCGGGCUCAACCUGGGAAUUGCGUUGGAGACUGCAAGGCUUGAAUCUGGCAGAGGGGGGUAGAAUUCCACGUGUAGCAGUGAAAUGCGUAGAGAUGUGGAGGAACACCGAUGGCGAAGGCAGCCCCCUGGGUCAAGAUUGACGCUCAUGCACGAAAGCGUGGGGAGCAAACAGGAUUAGAUACCCUGGUAGUCCACGCCCUAAACGAUGUCUACUAGUUGUCGGGUCUUAAUUGACUUGGUAACGCAGCUAACGCGUGAAGUAGACCGCCUGG